Long non-coding RNA from Acanthochromis polyacanthus (spiny chromis), 1804 nucleotides. RefSeq lists it as uncharacterized. Lineage: Eukaryota; Metazoa; Chordata; Actinopteri; Pomacentridae. The transcript is spliced from 3 exons. The record is from RefSeq and is a predicted model, not a curated record.
AACUCAUUGAUCUGCUGGCAGGGAUCAGAUGAUGUCAUCAGAGAAUUGAUCAGAUGAUUUUCUGUCAGUCUGCAGGUCGAGAACCAGACAGGUGGCAGCAGAGAAGGUAAAACAUCAUUAACACACCCUCGUUAACACAUCGUUCAUUAACCUGAUGAGCUCGUUAAAGCUGAUUAACACAUUCACUCUGUCACUGACCAAUCAGCAGCAGCCUCUCUGUCACUGACCAAUCAGCAGCAGCCUCUUGUGUCAGAUGCAUCACUUUAGUGCCUUAUUGACCUUCAGUAAUCAAUAAUCAGUAAUCAAUACUCAGUAAUCAAUAAUAAGUAAUGAAUAAUCAGUCACCAGUAUCCAGUCAUCAAUAAUCAGUAAUCAGUAUCCAGGCGCUGUAUUCACUUUUCAGGAUAAGUUCAGGUGUGUGCUGGAACACUCACCUGUGUCCUGCUGCAGGUGGUGGUGGUGACAUCAUACCGGUCCCGCUGCCCUAAGGAACUGGACCUGAACCAGGGAGACCUGGUCCAGGUUCUGUUUAAGGAGGACGAGGCCUGGUGGUUCGGCCGGCUGUCCACCGGACACCGGGGAUAUUUUCCUGCCACCUGUGUGGAGCCGCUGCAGGGUGGGGCGGUGCAGGCCACGCCCCCUCUGAAGAGGAGGGUGUCGGUGCCGAUGAUGCCAACAGACAGCGCCCCCUGUGGCUGCACCAGCGGUCGCAGCACUCCCAAACUGCUGAGGAAAAACAGCGUUCGGCGGUCAGUUGGUCUCGACGGACCCUCAGAGUCGUCGGAACCAGGAGGGUCGGUUCACGGGUCACCCAGCCUCCUGCACCGAGUCUUGGCCAAGUCCAGGAGGAAGAGCUGCCCUCAGCUGCCCCACCCAGCUCCAGACUCCGGCACCAUCAACACCGCCUUCCAGCCGGACUAGACCAGAACCUGCUGCUGUCCAGACGGUCUAGACCCAGUUUCUCAGUGAUUUCAGAAUCUGCUCCUCAAAUCCAAAAGACAGUGAAGACUAACCGACCCUGUUCUCUGUGAAGUGGACCCGUUUGAGUCGACAUCACUUCCAGGUCCAGUCCGAGUCACUGAGAUCAUCUUCAGGUCGCUGAUGUCCUACAGGUCUGAGUCCAAGUGUCCUGAUGUGUUCUGAACAUCAUGUUUGAGUCACCAAAGACUUGUCAGAGUCACGCAGGUAAAGACCUGUGGAGGUUCAGUUCUGAGUCCCUGAGAAAGAGUCCCAGUUAGUCUCAAGAGUCCUGAAGGACACAAACCAGCAUCAAGUCUCUCCGGUGUCUGAAGUGUAUCAGUACCUGUAUCUGAGUCAGCAGGUCCACGAGUUCCUGAGCUCACGUUGAAGUCAGGGAGGCCAAUCCCAAGAUUUCAAGUCAGUCUGAGUCUCUCAGUAGCUGUCGAGUCACUUUCAGUUUCCAAGUCAUUUAUGUCAGAGUCCAGGCAAGUCUUUAGGUCCAAGUCCUCGUCUCUGACGUCCUGUUUCAGGUCAGUCUGCCGAGACCAGCUGGAAUCGAUCAGAGGAAUUGAUCUUCAGCUGCUCAGAGACUAAAUCAACUUUGAAUCCAUAAAAAAGGAAUCUGAAUCUGUAUAAACUGAAAUUAAAACAUGUUUAUUUCACAUCUGAGCAGAAUGAAAAGCAGAACAUAUCAAAAACAAUCCUUCAGUUUAUUUAGGAAGAACCACGUUUUGUUUCUGGAGAUUCACAAUUUCACAUCUAAAAUAAGUGAAAAAAUAAAAUAAAUGUAUCAGAACAUCUACUGAAACAUAAAACAAUGAAUUAAAAUCAGUGUUCAGUGAAA